UCGUCGCUGAAGCUUGCCGUCGUCGCUGAAGCUCGUCGUCGUCGCUUCAGCUUCCUUUCACCAAUUCAGCUCCUACGACCCUUCGGCUUCCACUUCAACCGGCUAUUAAGGACAAGGUGAAGGAAAAAGAAGAACCCGCAGAGAGGCCGGGCCAGUUGGAAUGCAAGGCUAAAUACACAUUAUUUGCAAUAAUUUUGGAUUUUUUUUUUUUUUU
Quercus robur (English oak) is the source of this 214-nucleotide long non-coding RNA. RefSeq lists it as uncharacterized. The transcript is spliced from 3 exons. NCBI's taxonomy places the organism in Eukaryota, Viridiplantae, Streptophyta, Magnoliopsida, Fagales, Fagaceae. The record is from RefSeq and is a predicted model, not a curated record.